This 468-nucleotide ribosomal RNA is filed under the name uncultured bacterium. RNAcentral describes it as "partial 16S ribosomal RNA". It matches the Rfam family "Bacterial small subunit ribosomal RNA", at positions 28 to 507 of the family's 1533-position model. The record is from RNAcentral.
GACGAACGCUGGCGGCGUGCUUAACACAUGCAAGUCGAACGGAAAGGCCCUGCUUUUGUGGGGUGCUCGAGUGGCGAACGGGUGAGUAACACGUGAGUAACCUGCCCUUGACUUUGGGAUAACUUCAGGAAACUGGGGCUAAUACCGGAUAGGAGCUCCUGCUGCGUGGUGGGGGUUGGAAAGUUUCGGCGGUUGGGGAUGGACUCGCGGCUUAUCAGCUUGUUGGUGGGGUAGUGGCUUACCAAGGCUGUGACGGGUAGCCGGCCUGAGAGGGUGACCGGCCACAUUGGGACUGAGAUACGGCCCAGAGUCCUACGGGAGGCAGCAGUGGGGAAUAUUGCACAAUGGGCGGAAGCCUGAUGCAGAAACGCCGCGUGCGGGAUGACGGCCUUCGGGUUGUAAACCGCUUUCGCCUGUGACGAAGCGUGAGUGACGGUAAUGGGUAAAGAAGCACCGGCUAACUACGUG